CAGCCGGCGCGGUAAUACCAGCACCCCGAGUGGUCGGGACGAUUAUUGGGCCUAAAGCAUCCGUAGCCGGUCCUGCAAGUCCUCCGUUAAAUCCACCCGCUCAACGGUUGGGCCGCGGGGGAUACUACAGGGCUAGGAGGCGGGAGAGGCAAGCGGUACUCGAUGGGUAGGGGUAAAAUCCACUGAUCCAUUGAAGACCACCAGUGGCGAAGGCGGCUUGCCAGAACGCGCUCGGCGGUGAGGGAUGAAAGCUGGGGGGGCAAACCGGAUUAGAUACCCGGGUAGUCCCAGCUGUAAACGAUGCAGACUCAGUGAUGGGCUGGCUUCGUGCCAACCCGGUGCCGCAGGGAAGCCGUUAAGUCUACCGCCUGGGGAGUACGGUCGCAAGACUGAAACUUAAAGGAAUUGUUUGGGGAGUAC
RNAcentral lists this ribosomal RNA (420 nucleotides) under uncultured Nitrososphaerota archaeon. RNAcentral's name for it is "bacterial SSU rRNA". It matches the Rfam family "Archaeal small subunit ribosomal RNA", at positions 459 to 879 of the family's 1478-position model. Lineage: Archaea; Thermoproteati; Nitrososphaerota. The record is from RNAcentral.